RNAcentral lists this ribosomal RNA (466 nucleotides) under uncultured bacterium. RNAcentral's name for it is "partial 16S ribosomal RNA". It matches the Rfam family "Bacterial small subunit ribosomal RNA", at positions 328 to 792 of the family's 1533-position model. The record is from RNAcentral.
UUCCCAGACUCCUACGGGAGGCAGCAGUGAGGAAUAUUGGUCAAUGGGCGCGAGCCUGAACCAGCCAAGUAGCGUGAAGGAUGACUGCCCUACGGGUUGUAAACUUCUUUUAUAAAGGAAUAAAGUGAGGCACGUGUGCCUUUUUGUAUGUACUUUAUGAAUAAGCAUCGGCUAACUCCGUGCCAGCAGCCGCGGUAAUACGGAGGAUGCGAGCGUUAUCCGGAUUUAUUGGGUUUAAAGGGUGCGUAGGCGGUUUUUUAAGUUAGUGGUUAAACGUCGGGGCUUCACCUUGAUUUGCCAUUAAUACUGUAAGACUCGAGUUCAGACGAGGUAGGCGGAAUAAGUUAAGUAGCGGUGAAAUGCUUAGAUAUAACUUAGAACUCCGAUAGCGAAGGCAGCUUACCAGACUGCGACUGACGCUGAAGCACGAGAGCGUGGGUAGCGAACAGGAUUAGAUACCCUGGUA